AUUGAACGCUGGCGGCAUGCCUUACACAUGCAAGUCGAACGGCAGCAUGAUCUAGCUUGCUAGAUUGAUGGCGAGUGGCGAACGGGUGAGUAAUACAUCGGAACGUGCCCUGUAGUGGGGGAUAACUAGUCGAAAGAUUAGCUAAUACCGCAUACGACCUGAGGGUGAAAGUGGGGGACCGCAAGGCCUCAUGCUAUAGGAGCGGCCGAUGUCUGAUUAGCUAGUUGGUGAGGUAAAGGCUCACCAAGGCGACGAUCAGUAGCUGGUCGGAGAGGACGAUCAGCCACACUGGGACUGAGACACGGCCCAGACUCCUACGGGAGGCAGCAGUGGGGAAUUUUGGACAAUGGGCGAAAGCCUGAUCCAGCAAUGCCGCGUGUGUGAAGAAGGCCUUCGGGUUGUAAAGCACUUUUGUCCGGAAAGAAAUGGCUCUGGUUAAUACCUGGGGUCGAUGACGGUACCGGAAGAAUAAGGACCGGCUAACUACGUG
Molecule: ribosomal RNA, 490 nt
Filed under: uncultured bacterium
Lineage: Bacteria
Description: partial 16S ribosomal RNA
Rfam family: Bacterial small subunit ribosomal RNA
Source: RNAcentral